AACGAACGCUGGCGGCAGGCCUAACACAUGCAAGUCGAGCGAGGACUUCGGUUCUAGCGGCGGACGGGUGAGUAACGCGUGGGAAUGUGCCCUUCUCUACGGAAUAGCCCUGGGAAACUGGGAGUAAUACCGUAUACGCCCUAUUGGGGAAAGAUUUAUCGGAGAAGGAUCAGCCCGCGUUGGAUUAGGUAGUUGGUGGGGUAAUGGCCUACCAAGCCGACGAUCCAUAGCUGGUUUGAGAGGAUGAUCAGCCACACUGGGACUGAGACACGGCCCAGACUCCGACGGGAGGCAGCAGUGGGGAAUCUUAGACAAUGGGGGCAAACCUGAUCUAGCCAUGCCGCGUGAGUGAUGAAGGCCUUAGGGUUGUAAAGCUCUUUCAGCUGGGAAGAUAAUGACGGUACCAGCAGAAGAAGCCCCGGCUAACUCCGUG
This 433-nucleotide ribosomal RNA is filed under the name uncultured bacterium. RNAcentral describes it as "partial 16S ribosomal RNA". It matches the Rfam family "Bacterial small subunit ribosomal RNA", at positions 29 to 507 of the family's 1533-position model. The record is from RNAcentral.